This 445-nucleotide ribosomal RNA is filed under the name uncultured bacterium. RNAcentral's name for it is "partial 16S ribosomal RNA". It matches the Rfam family "Bacterial small subunit ribosomal RNA", at positions 354 to 796 of the family's 1533-position model. The record is from RNAcentral.
GUGAGGAAUAUUGCGCAAUGGAGGCAACUCUGACGCAGCCAUGCCGCGUGCAGGAAGAAGGCGCUACGCGUUGUAAACUGCUUUUAACCGGGAAGAAACCCCAGGACGUGUCCUGGGUUGACGGUACCGGAGGAAUAAGCACCGGCUAACUUCGUGCCAGCAGCCGCGGUAAUACGAAGGGUGCAAGCACUAUCCGGAUUCAUUGGGUUUAAAGGGUGCGUAGGCGGAGCGUUAAGUCAGUGGUGAAAUCCUGCAGCUUAACUGUAGACUUGCCAUUGAUACUGGCGCUCUUGAGUGCGCUUGAAGUGGGCGGAAUGUGCCGUGUAGCGGUGAAAUGCUUAGAUAUGGCACAGAACACCAAUUGCGAAGGCAGCUCACUAAGGCGAUACUGACGCUGAGGCACGAAAGCGUGGGGAUCGAACAGGAUUAGAUACCCGUGUAGUCC